Molecule: ribosomal RNA, 233 nt
Filed under: uncultured bacterium
Lineage: Bacteria
Description: partial 16S ribosomal RNA
Rfam family: Bacterial small subunit ribosomal RNA
Source: RNAcentral
GAUGAACGCUAGCGGCAGGCUUAAUACAUGCAAGUCGAACGGUAAGUUUGGUAGCAAUAUCAAACCAAGAGUGACGUACGGGUGCGUAACACGUAUGCAACCUACCUUGUACAGGAGUAUAGCUCGGGGAAACUCGAUUAACCCUCCAUGAGAUCAUAGAAUGGCAUCAUUUAGUGAUUAAACUCAGGUGGUACAAGAUGGGCAUGCGUCUGANAGUUUAGUUGGCGGGGUAA